AAAUUGAAGAGUUUGAUCAUGGCUCAGAUUGAACGCUGGCGGCAGGCCUAACACAUGCAAGUCGAACGGUAACAGGAAGCAGCUUGCUGCUUUGCUGACGAGUGGCGGACGGGUGAGUAAUGUCUGGGAAACUGCCUGAUGGAGGGGGAUAACUACUGGAAACGGUGGCUAAUACCGCAUAACGUCGCAAGACCAAAGAGGGGGACCUUCGGGCCUCUUGCCAUCAGAUGUGCCCAGAUGGGAUUAGCUUGUUGGUGAGGUAACGGCUCACCAAGGCGACGAUCCCUAGCUGGUCUGAGAGGAUGACCAGCCACACUGGAACUGAGACACGGUCCAGACUCCUACGGGAGGCAGCAGUGGGGAAUAUUGCACAAUGGGCGCAAGCCUGAUGCAGCCAUGCCGCGUGUAUGAAGAAGGCCUUCGGGUUGUAAAGUACUUUCAGCGGGGAGGAAGGUGUUGUGGUUAAUAACCACAGCAAUUGACGUUACCCGCAGAAGAAGCACCGGCUAACUCCGUGCCAGCAGCCGCGGUAAUACGGAGGGUGCAAGCGUUAAUCGGAAUUACUGGGCGUAAAGCGCACGCAGGCGGUCUGUCAAGUCGGAUGUGAAAUCCCCGGGCUCAACCUGGGAACUGCAUUCGAAACUGGCAGGCUUGAGUCUUGUAGAGGGGGGUAGAAUUCCAGGUGUAGCGGUGAAAUGCGUAGAGAUCUGGAGGAAUACCGGUGGCGAAGGCGGCCCCCUGGACAAAGACUGACGCUCAGGUGCGAAAGCGUGGGGAGCAAACAGGAUUAGAUACCCUGGUAGUCCACGCCGUAAACGAUGUCUACUUGGAGGUUGUGCCCUUGAGGCGUGGCUUCCGGAGCUAACGCGUUAAGUAGACCGCCUGGGGAGUACGGCCGCAAGGUUAAAACUCAAAUGAAUUGACGGGGGCCCGCACAAGCGGUGGAGCAUGUGGUUUAAUUCGAUGCAACGCGAAGAACCUUACCUGGUCUUGACAUCCACAGAACUUUCCAGAGAUGGAUUGGUGCCUUCGGGAACUGUGAGACAGGUGCUGCAUGGCUGUCGUCAGCUCGUGUUGUGAAAUGUUGGGUUAAGUCCCGCAACGAGCGCAACCCUUAUCCUUUGUUGCCAGCGGUCCGGCCGGGAACUCAAAGGAGACUGCCAGUGAUAAACUGGAGGAAGGUGGGGAUGACGUCAAGUCAUCAUGGCCCUUACGACCAGGGCUACACACGUGCUACAAUGGCAUAUACAAAGAGAAGCGACCUCGCGAGAGCAAGCGGACCUCAUAAAGUAUGUCGUAGUCCGGAUUGGAGUCUGCAACUCGACUCCAUGAAGUCGGAAUCGCUAGUAAUCGUGGAUCAGAAUGCCACGGUGAAUACGUUCCCGGGCCUUGUACACACCGCCCGUCACACCAUGGGAGUGGGUUGCAAAAGAAGUAGGUAGCUUAACCUUCGGGAGGGCGCUUACCACUUUGUGAUUCAUGACUGGGGUGAAGUCGUAACAAGGUAACCGUAGGGGAACCUGCGGUUGGAUCACCUCCUUACCUUAAAGAAGC
RNAcentral lists this ribosomal RNA (1554 nucleotides) under Salmonella enterica. RNAcentral's name for it is "bacterial SSU rRNA". It matches the Rfam family "Bacterial small subunit ribosomal RNA". Lineage: Bacteria; Pseudomonadati; Pseudomonadota; Gammaproteobacteria; Enterobacterales; Enterobacteriaceae. The record is from RNAcentral.